GAUGAACGCUAGCGGGAGGCCUAACACAUGCAAGCCGAGCGGUAUUUGUUCUUCGGAACAGAGAGAGCGGCGCACGGGUGCGGAACACGUGUGCAACCUGCCUUUAUCUGGGGGAUAGCCUUUCGAAAGGAAGAUUAAUACCCCAUAAUAUAUUGAGUGGCAUCAUUUGAUAUUGAAAACUCCGGUGGAUAGAGAUGGGCACGCGCAAGAUUAGAUAGUUGGUGAGGUAACGGCUCACCAAGUCAAUGAUCUUUAGGGGGCCUGAGAGGGUGAUCCCCCAGACUGGUACUGAGACACGGACCAGACACCUACGGGAGGCAGCAGUGAGGAAUAUUGGACAAUGGGUUAGCGCCUGAUCCAGCCAUCCCGCGUGAAGGACGACGGCCCUAUGGGUGGUAAACUUCUUUUGUAUAGGGAUAAACCUACUCGCGUGAGAGUAGCUGAAGGUACUAUACGAAUAAGCACCGGCUAACUCCGUG
Molecule: ribosomal RNA, 479 nt
Filed under: uncultured bacterium
Lineage: Bacteria
Description: partial 16S ribosomal RNA
Rfam family: Bacterial small subunit ribosomal RNA
Source: RNAcentral